CUCUAAUACAAAUUUUCAGAUGUUAUAUUUUAAGGAAUAUUUCCAGUAAAUGUAUUAGUCUUAAAGAGAUUUAUUCCUUCCAAAAUUGCAAAAGCAACAAGGUAAAAAUGUAUCAGUAAAAUAGAUAUUAGUAGAAUUCCGAUUUGAAUAUAUCUAUUUUAC
Molecule: non-coding RNA, 162 nt
Filed under: unclassified sequences
Description: RT-14 RNA
Rfam family: RT-14 RNA
About the family: Cloacimonetes, Firmicutes, Proteobacteria. Nearby to self-splicing intron genes
Source: Rfam by way of RNAcentral